RNAcentral lists this ribosomal RNA (460 nucleotides) under uncultured bacterium. RNAcentral's name for it is "partial 16S ribosomal RNA". It matches the Rfam family "Bacterial small subunit ribosomal RNA", at positions 338 to 795 of the family's 1533-position model. The record is from RNAcentral.
CCUACGGGAGGCAGCAGUGAGGAAUAUUGGUCAAUGGGCGCGAGCCUGAACCAGCCAAGUAGCGUGAAGGAUGACUGCCCUACGGGUUGUAAACUUCUUUUAUAAAGGAAUAAAGUGAGGCACGUGUGCCUUUUUGUAUGUACUUUAUGAAUAAGGAUCGGCUAACUCCGUGCCAGCAGCCGCGGUAAUACGGAGGAUCCGAGCGUGAUCCGGAUUUAGUGGGUUUAAAGGGAGCGUAGAUGGGUUGUUAAGUCAGUUGUGAAAGGUUGCGGCUCAACCGUAAAAUUGCAAUUGAUACUGGCAGUCUUGAGUACAGUUGAGGUAGGCGGAAUUCGUGGUGUAGCGGUGGAAUGCUUAGAUAUCACGAAGAACUCCGAUUGCGAAGGCAGCUUACUAAACUGCCACUGACAUUGAUGCUCGAAAGUGUGGGUAUCGAACAGGAUUAGAUACCCCUGUAGUC